UAGUCCACGCCGUAAGCGAUGGAUACUAGAUGUCGGGAGCUUAUACCCUCUCGGUGUCGUAGCUAACGCGUUAAGUAUCCCGCCUGGGGACUACGGUCGCAAGACUAAAACUCAAAGAAAUUGACGGGGGCCCGCACAAGCGGUGGAGGAUGUCCUUUAAUUCGAUGUUCCGCGAAAAACCUUACCUGGGCUUGACAUCCCGCGCUACCCUAAGAGAUUAGGGGUUCCUUCGGGACGCGGUGACAGGUGCUGCAUGGCUGUCGUCAGCUCGUGUCGUGAGAUGUUGGGUUAAGUCCCGCAACGAGCGCAACCCUUGCCAUUAGUUGCCAGCAUUAAGUUGGGCACUCUAAUGGAACCGCUUGCCGAUAAGGCAGAGGAAGGUGAGGGACGAGGUCAAGUCCGCAUGGCCCUUACGCCCAGGGGCUAGAGACGUCCUACAAUGGAUAUCACAGAGCGUUGCAAUACCGCGAGGUGGAGCUAAUCG
This 484-nucleotide ribosomal RNA is filed under the name uncultured bacterium. RNAcentral describes it as "bacterial SSU rRNA". It matches the Rfam family "Bacterial small subunit ribosomal RNA", at positions 791 to 1274 of the family's 1533-position model. The record is from RNAcentral.